CUGAGAGCUUGUAUUCCAAGUGUGAUACGUCAAAGGAGGUGACAGAAUAGGCAAGGGUUUUGGGGGACAGGAUGGGAGAGGUCAUUUGUACUCUGUGCACUGGAAGGUAGCUGGGGUGGGGAGCCUCAGAGUAUCUUAAAAAAGGAUAAAGAACAGGCUGAAAGUAGGUUUGGGGGAAGCCAGGUGUCACUGUGGGAUAGAGUCAUUAAGGCACCUGCAAGGCCCGUGGAAUGUAUAAGAAACUUUGAAUGCAUCAGGAGGAAAAAAGGAAGGUCACAGCACAUCACACUGAUAUUUUGCUGUAUGCAGGACAAAAUUUCCAGGCAGAGCUGUUAUCUUUCAUUGGACCAGUUGGAACUGGAAAAAUCAGAUGAGCUUUUGGGGGCACAGGUGCACCUGCAGGCCCUGGUUUUGCAAGCCCCUCUACAAGACUGUUCACAUUGAAAUCAAGAGAAUUUUUAUCACAUGGAUGAAGUUAGUGCUGCA
Molecule: long non-coding RNA, 486 nt
Filed under: Anas zonorhyncha (Eastern spot-billed duck)
Lineage: Eukaryota; Metazoa; Chordata; Aves; Anseriformes; Anatidae
Description: lncRNA (ENSAZOG00000002574.1)
Source: RNAcentral